GACGGAGGAUGCAAGCGUUAUCCGGAAUUAUUGGGCGUAAAGCGUCCGUAGGUGGCAGACCAAGUCUGUUUUUAAAUAGUGCAGCUCAACUGCAUAAGGGGAAUGGAAACUGGUCAGCUAGAGUUCGGUAGGGGCAGAGGGAAUUCCCGGUGUAGCGGUGAAAUGCGUAGAUAUCGGGAAGAACACCAGUGGCGAAAGCGCUCUGCUGGGCCUGAACUGACACUGAUGGACGAAAGCUAGGGGAGCGAAAGGG
Molecule: ribosomal RNA, 253 nt
Filed under: uncultured bacterium
Lineage: Bacteria
Description: partial 16S ribosomal RNA
Rfam family: Bacterial small subunit ribosomal RNA
Source: RNAcentral